UUCAAGCUGAGAGUUGUAAGGAGAGGUCACUGAGAGUACGCCGGGAGAAUAAUGAACGAAUAUGUAACCUCACAUUGAGAAGGUGCUCCAUAGAAGCCGGGCAGGGUGACAGGAAAUAAGAGUGUGUUGGGGGAAGGGCAGAGACUUCUGUUACAAUAAUGGCGUCAGGAGACCCUAUUUGAGGAGGGACCAUGGUAACUGUGUGUCUAAGGAAAGAGAAAGCAGAUGCCUGUAAACUGCUGGAGAGAGAGCUGGAAACCUGGUGAAAGCCACCCAAAACGAGAGACAAAUGGUGACCCCUGUGAAAGGGUCAUUCGACACCUCCAGCGUCGUACAGGUCUCGAACCCCUGCUUUAGAUGCCACUGUGAUUACUGGAGAAAAGAAAGCAGGAAGCAGGAAGGUCAUUUUGGAAUCUACUACCACCAUCUCAGGAGAGAUGCUGGAGAGGUGACUAGGUGACCAGGGGAUUUCCGACACAUUUUGGAGGUAGACUUGGUGGGGCUUUCUGAGGCCGUGGACUGAGGGAGAGAGCUCCCUCAUGUAUGGCAUUCAGGUUUCUGCCUUGAGCAAGGUGCUGAAGGUAGUGCAUGGUCUAAGACGGGGCAUUGGGGGACUGGGUCAGGGGAGAAAAUCUGGGAUGGGCACCAAAAGUACAGACUGCACAGGUUCAAGCUAAGCUUUGGAGAUGUCAAAACAAACCAAAUGAACAUCUAGCAAAUAAACACGAGUCAGAGUCUCGGGCUUGGAUGGACAGUGUCAAGAUGAUGCCCAACUCAUUCCUUCAGCCUCUCUGUGUCGUCUCUGCUCCUGCAUUUAGCCAUUUGCCAUGAUUCCUCGCUGGACCAACCCCAGCAUAGUGUAAUGACCUUUGUGCAAUCAUAAAGCCCUGCUCACAGUGCUGUGGCUUUACCUCUCUAACAUCAUAGGGAUGGAUGCUCCAGGGAUGAUUCCUUAAGGCUUCCAUGGCUCCUGUCACAUCAGGAGACUCCGUGUCCUGCCAGUGGACUUUGGACCCCUUAGUUUCUCAGGGAGUCUCCAGAAAGGCCUGGUGACAUAAUCAGAACAUGUAAAAACCUUAGCAUUGCUGGGGCAAACGUCAUCCAAUGAGAAGCAGGAGCCAGGAAGGAAUCGUGAAAAGAAGGACACAGUGAAACCGCCACAUCCAAGGACGUUAACAGCGCUUCUGGACGUGAGCUGUCAGAGAGAUCAAGGAAAAUUGCAGGAAGUGUUCAGAAAGCGGUGGAGGGAGAGUAAACACCACACACAGCUCAGCUUGCCCACGUCUACAGAGAAAGCUCUCACGAGGCAGAAACCGGCUCCAAGGUAAACCUGUCCCACACUCCCAUGCCUCUGAGCCUGAAUGAUCGGAGGGAAGAAAGAAAACAAUGGCUAGCCAGAGGCCCUCAGACUGCUGCUGCUGCGGAAUGGGGAUUUUGGUCGGAUGUUGAGUUUACCUGGAAUCCCCCGGUGUUAUUUUGGGAAGGCAGACAUCCUAUGGAAACAAUGAUGAUGUGGAAAAGAAAACAGAUAAAGCAAAUGCUAGAGCCUU
Long non-coding RNA from Peromyscus eremicus (cactus mouse), 1550 nucleotides. RefSeq lists it as uncharacterized. Lineage: Eukaryota; Metazoa; Chordata; Mammalia; Rodentia; Cricetidae. The transcript has 4 exons. The record is from RefSeq and is a predicted model, not a curated record.